CCGGUGCGCACGGAGACCGCCAUGCCUCGCCUUGGCGCUUUCUUCCUGGAGCGGAGCGCAGGCGCCGAGACUGACAACGCGGUCCCACAGUCAAAUAGACCGGGUGCGGUGGCUCACGUCUGUAAUCCCAGCACUUUGGGAGGCUGAGGCGGGCGGAUCCUGAGGUCAAGAGAUCCAGACCAUCCUGGCCAACACCGUGAAACCCCAUCU
This 210-nucleotide small RNA is filed under the name Pongo abelii (Sumatran orangutan). RNAcentral describes it as "processed transcript". The record is from RNAcentral. Lineage: Eukaryota; Metazoa; Chordata; Mammalia; Primates; Hominidae.